This 635-nucleotide ribosomal RNA is filed under the name Annulohypoxylon annulatum. RNAcentral's name for it is "eukaryotic LSU rRNA". The stretch from base 271 to 424 matches the Rfam family "5.8S ribosomal RNA". The record is from RNAcentral. Lineage: Eukaryota; Fungi; Ascomycota; Sordariomycetes; Xylariales; Hypoxylaceae.
AAGUCGUAACAAGGUCUCCGUUGGUGAACCAGCGGAGGGAUCAUUAGCGAGUUACCGCAAAACUCCAUAACCCUUUGUGAACCUACCUACUGUUGCCUCGGCGUCGCGCUGCGGCUGACGCCCGCCCCUACCCGCCCUACCCGGGAGAGGAGGGGGCGGGCCUCAGCCGGCUGAACCAGCCCGCCAAAGGACCUACAAACCAAACCCUAAAUCAAACGUACCUUCUGAAGAAUAAAAAAAAGAAUCAACUUUGAAACUUAAAUAAGUCAAAACUUUCAACAACGGAUCUCUUGGCUCUGGCAUCGAUGAAGAACGCAGCGAAAUGCGAUAAGUAAUGUGAAUUGCAGAAUUCAGUGAAUCAUCGAAUCUUUGAACGCACAUUGCGCCCGCCAGCAUUCUGGCGGGCAUGCCUAUCCGAGCGUCAUUACGACCCUUAAGCCCCCCGGGCUUAGCGUUGGGAUUCCGCGCCUUCCGGGGCGCGGUUCCCUAAAGCCAUCGGCGGCGCCGCGGCUCCACUUCUGAGCGUAGUAAUCUACAGUUCCUCGCCCCUGAAGUGGCCGCGGCCGCCUGCCGCAAAACCCCACCAACUCUCAGUGGUUGACCUCGGAUUAGGUAGGGAUACCCGCUGAACUUAA